Molecule: ribosomal RNA, 496 nt
Filed under: uncultured bacterium
Lineage: Bacteria
Description: partial 16S ribosomal RNA
Rfam family: Bacterial small subunit ribosomal RNA
Source: RNAcentral
AUGAACGCUGGCGGCGUGCCUAAUACAUGCAAGUCGAGCGAACAGACGAGGAGCUUGCUCCUCUGACGUUAGCGGCGGACGGGUGAGUAACACGUGGAUAACCUACCUAUAAGACUGGGAUAACUUCGGGAAACCGGAGCUAAUACCGGAUAAUAUAUUGAACCGCAUGGUUCAAUAGUGAAAGACGGUUUUGCUGUCACUUAUAGAUGGAUCCGCGCCGCAUUAGCUAGUUGGUAAGGUAACGGCUUACCAAGGCAACGAUGCGUAGCCGACCUGAGAGGGUGAUCGGCCACACUGGAACUGAGACACGGUCCAGACUCCUACGGGAGGCAGCAGUAGGGAAUCUUCCGCAAUGGGCGAAAGCCUGACGGAUCAACGCCGCGUGAGUGAUGAAGGUCUUCGGAUCGUAAAACUCUGUUAUUAGGGAAGAACAAAUGUGUAAGUAACUAUGCACGUCUUGACGGUACCUAAUCAGAAAGCCACGGCUAACUACGUG